GUGCGCUUUGCCGUUUAAAUUUCUUUUGUACAACUAGAAACUGGCGGAAGAUUACAAAUUAUAAUGUACUUCAUAUUGUCUAUUUUGUUCAUUUCUUUUAUCCUAAAUGCUGAUACCACCCAGCCACUAACUGAUGAGCAACUUUUAAAACAAAAAUUCGAAGACGCAAAAAAAUGGUACAAAGUUGCUGAGGGCAAAGGCCUUACAGAGAAACAUGUGAAGGAUAUGGUGGGUUUCCCGAAUUCAAAAAAAAUAGACGAAUUUUUUAAUAAAUAUGAAUAUACACCAGAACAACGAAAUGACAUACAGCUUCCAUUGUUUGAGCUUAUUAUGUCAUCAUUCCAUAUGGUGAAAUCGUUUAGAACGACACUCAAUCAACCGAGCGGAUAAAAUAUGUGUUUACAAGAAGAAUUAAAUGCUAAUGUUAAGAUCAUAUUGUUUUUGAAAAUGUAAGCGUUUGAGUAAUUAUUUAAAUGUUUCAUUAUGUUGUAUACUAUAGUUAAAACAAAUUAUGACUCGUUAUAAAUGAGUAAGUUUAAUAGAAAUGUAAUACAAUAUG
Long non-coding RNA from Adelges cooleyi (spruce gall adelgid), 559 nucleotides. RefSeq lists it as uncharacterized. The transcript has 4 exons. Lineage: Eukaryota; Metazoa; Arthropoda; Insecta; Hemiptera; Adelgidae. The record is from RefSeq and is a predicted model, not a curated record.